Microcebus murinus (gray mouse lemur) is the source of this 4869-nucleotide non-coding RNA. NCBI's taxonomy places the organism in Eukaryota, Metazoa, Chordata, Mammalia, Primates, Cheirogaleidae. The record is from RefSeq and is a predicted model, not a curated record.
CAUUAUUAACCAGACGCAGUGAUCACUGGCAGACAGUGAAUGAGGACAGAAAAGGCAUUAAAACAGAAGCAUCAAAGGCAAGGGCCACGCGCAGUCAUGGCCAAAGUCCCUGCUAAAGUGAUUGAGAUUCUACGCUGACCAGAGCCAGCCCCGCUUCUUCUGCCUUCCGCCCCCGACGGCUCAGCGGGCUCCGCCCAGGGCGGCUCGGACCCAAGACGCGUCCCGUUUCAGCACCGGGGGCUGCGGACAGCGCCCUCCCGCCCUUGCGCGCCACCGCCCCACUCCCUGGCAUGUAGUUCUUUAACCCAGCCCCUGGCCGGAGUCUGCGUCCCCAGCACACCUCCCAGCGUCCCAAGAACUCCUACUUCAAAACCCUAAAAUCCUUACCCUGCCAAAGUUUGGUUUCUCCGCGGGCGCGCCUCCGUCUGGCACAGCCUCUCCUCGUCGCUCCUUCUUGCGCUGGGCAGCAGCUCGAGCUGGCUCCCUCCCCCACGCCCGGCCCGGUCUCUCCUCUGGGGACGGCGGAAGGAGCCUGUUGCCACCCUCUCUGGGAAAGUCAGGUGAGGCUCUGGAGCCUCAGAGGCGGUCUGAAAGAGGUAGAAGCCUCUCACUCAUGCCCCCAUCCCCUUCAAAGGAAGAGCGGGUGAGUCAGGAGCAAGCAAGCAGCCAAGUCCUUCUGUCACCUCUGGAUUCUCGCCUAACCCCGGGCGGGCGGCCACCUCGGACUCCUUGGGAUGUUUCACCACUGGUAUAAUCCACACGGAAUGGAUGAGGACACAGCAAAGAUCAGGGACUUUGAAGUUUAAGUGUAUGUUUCUGAAACCUGUUAACAACUUUAUAGAAGAUUUUAGAAACAAGUUUUUGCCUUUGGGGUAAUGUGCAUUUCCCUUGGAGAGUUUUUGUUUCCUUCUGUCACAGCAGGCAACACCAGACUCUCUGAACCGUCAUAAAAAGUAAAACGCACCAAUCCAACUAGUAUUCACUACCCUCUACUGAGGCCAAAAGAAUUUAAACUUUUUUUGGAGAAAAUAAUUUUAUAUAAUGAAACCUCCACAUGUCUCCAAACUCAAUUUCCCCACAGAAGGUAUACUCCACGGACACACAGCUCCAUGAAGAAUGGAGACCUAAUCCCACCGUCAUGCUCACUGGCACUCUCUGGUUCUGGAGGGUGGGAGCAGGUCCCAGGAGAAAUCUGAGCCUUCUUGGCUGGGCUAAGGCCUGGACACUCUCUCCGGUUCCAGGUUCUCAAGGCUGACACCCUCUUGGGAAGAAAUACCACAAAAGCAGAUCCCACAGCAGCCAGCCAAUUGGAGCUUCUCUGAGGAUUUGGAGCUCAUGGCCCUUCUUGAACAUACCUAUCAACUUGUCUGUUUUGGGAACAGAUUAUCUUCGGAAGUUGUAAAUCUUUGAGUUCAUGCAACACUUGAUGGGAGAGGUGAAGUGUAUACUAUUCAAUGGAGAAAUUAGGAUGGUGCAUGUACACACUCGCAUGCACACACAUACACUCAUCUUAAAGAAGGGAAAUAAAACCAAGAAAAAUUUUCCUCAGAGAAAAGUUAGGUUUAAUUGUUCAGAUUCAAGGGAUUCUGGGAGUGAGAGAGCAAAUAAAUGGAAGAGGUGAAUCAACAAAAUGAAGCUGAAGCCACAGAAAUUGAAGGAGAGGUGAAUUCUUGUUUUGUUAUCUGGGCUUCUGGAAGGAAUCUGAAAUUAAUUUAGUACAAGAGAAAACAUAAUUUAUGAGACUGAGCUUCAUCAAGGACUUUAGUGUCCUUAUUCCAGGGAAUCUACAACAUACCUCAGUUACCAUGUGCAAUUUUUUUUUUUUUUUGUCAGGAAAUGCUUUCUUCCCUCUAAUCCCUGUAAUUUAUACUACAAGUCAAAGCUGUUUCCUGCUGGCUUGUCCUGAGGGAAGACCAGAAGCAGAUGAUUCUGUUCUGUUGUCUGGGAACAUUUCAAAGUUUCAAAAGAAUCUUUAAUGCUGAUUUUGGAGAAAGUAAUUCUUAUCAUGAGAUAAUUUUAAGGCAUCAUUCUGAAAAAUGAAAAAUCCCUCUAGACUUUGUUUCUGAAAUGCACACGAUUUCUAAGAUUUGAGGGAGAAAACAGGACCUUACAAAAUUAAUCAUAAAAUGAAGAAGUCAUUGAGGCUGAUGAGAUAGGUCAUUUAGCACAGUAUUGGGCAUAUACUUGGCCCUUAGGAAAUGAUGUGUGUUCAAUAGUUAUCACUGAAGAACUUGGGUACCUGAAAGGUAGAAACACAUAAUGGAAAUACACAACAGAAUGAGUAGAGAAGGGCCUGAAGGGGAUAUAUCUGUGAAUUUGCCUGCAAAAAGCAUCCAGCUGUAAGAUACUAGGCUACCAGGAUGGAGAGUCCAGAUUUGGCCCAAGACCCACUCAGUGGGGUGGCUUCUGGGGACCUAUCCUAUUGCUCAAGUCUCAAUUGAAGAAUGGCACAGUUGGAAGAGUCAGCAAUGUUUUGUCAAGAUGCAGGACACAACCAGCACCAGGCAAUCCCAGAUGAAUUAGUGGGAUGCCCAAACAAACCCAUGGCACCAAAAGAUCCAGGAGAGCAAUCCACAGAAACUCAAAGUCUUAUGCCAGAAUAAGGAAACCACAGCACUAUGGAGAAGGGAGAAGGUAUCACUUCCUCUUUCUGACAGGGCAGGUGAGAUUGGGAUGGAGGGGUGGGGACCAGGUGGACCCUAAAUUGCUUCAGCCUCAGUCAGGGCACACUUAGGAAAUGGGAAGGGGUCUGUGGGGAAGUGAGUGGCACCCAGCCAUCAGGAGCUGAGGAAGGCUGAAGCCAGGAAACCUGGUGAGACAGACUCUACCCACCUGUGAGUUAGGUGCUGUGCCAGAAGGAUUGCGUCUGAGUAUGAGCACGCACAUGUGUGGCUUAGGGGACUCCCCAGUGAUAUUUAAUUUUAAUUAUUUUUGAAACAUAGAAAUAGUGUGAUGGUCUAUAUAGUCUUUUGGGAAUUGCUUUUGUCAAUCAAUAUCAGGUUAGUAUGUUUGAGUGAUGGUGCUUAUAUCUUUAGUUCAUUCAGUUCCACCAUGUAAAUAUGCAAUUUGUUAUUUAUUCUGCAUGCAUAUUAUACAUGUUGUUUUAAAAAAUGGGGUCCAGGGUAACUGAAUUUUAGCUAUAAAUUAUGUAAAAUCUCAGUUCAAACAAAUUUUAGAUGUACUGGGGACCUGAUAUUUAAAGGUUAGUGUUGAAAGGCACAUAUAAUAUUUUUCCCACGGGUGGGCAACAGAACAGCUAGGGCCAUAUGGUGCCCAGUGUAUUAAAGAACACACAACCUGAUAAGUAGAUAAGCCAGACUAAUAGACGAUAAGCAGAAAUGCAAACAGAUAAACCCAGUUAUCAGUAAGGGAGGGUGUAUGGGCUUGCUUCGGCAGGUGGUCUAGAUCUUUGGCAAAUGAUAAGGCAAUUUGUAGGAAUGGCUUUUGGUAAAUAAAAUAGUUAUCAGGAGGCAGGCAAGGUUCACAUGAGAAGCAAAGAUGUAUCAAUUUCUCCUGCAGGAAUUCUCUCAGUGAGUGCAAAGAUGAUUGGGGGGAAAAGGCCCCAAAGUAGGGAGAAGCAGUUGUUUCAGUCUUUAAGGCCCACUUUGCCUGCUUCCUUCUCAGGCAACAGAGGUGAUGGCAUCUAUUUCCCUUACUUCCCUAGCAGUUGGAAGAACAGAAGGAAAAUAAAAUUAAAUUAAUGAAUGAGAUUUGAAGAGUUAAAAGGUCUAUCCAAAUACCAUUAAGAGCCUGAGGAGGACUGGGGGCCAUGGGAUCUAAUCUACCUUGUCCCCUGGGGACCCACCUCCUACUUUCAGGUCAGCCUUGCAGACAGUGGAUAGGUAAGGGAUGCCUGAAAGACCCUAAUGCCAGCCUCCCCACUCCAUCCAAAUCUCCACUAUCUGACCAUAAGUGUCUGAAAUCCCACUGUUGGAAUGUCAUCUUUCUAUUUUCAAACUUUGAUCCCUUUUAAAAUGCAAAUAACUCCAGGAGAUAAGAGUGUGGAUAUUGAAUCAAAAAGUUGUGGUAGGAAAAUUUGAGAAGAGCGUUUGAUGAUCCUGUAGACCAAGGAGGGUGGCCUGGAGUGGAUGCCAUGGCAGGGGUUGGGUAGGAUAGGGGGCAAGGGCUCAGAUAAUGGACACUGAACAGGAGGACAAGCCUGACCCUGCCCUAGGAAAACCACCUGUGCUUUCGUGUAAGCCUAAAACCUUCAUUUUCCACCCACAAAAGGAGGACAAUCACUUUUGCUGCCUGUUAAAGCUGGCACAAGCUGCCAGGCUGUUUUAGUGGAUUAUAAAGUGAAUGUCAUCAAAGUGUUGGUUAAUAGAUGUGAUGUGCUCUGGGCUCAGUCCUGCUCAGUUCAAUACUGUCAUUGGGGCCUAGGUUAAACAUACUGUGUUUCUUGUAUAUUUUAAUAUGGAUAGAAUGUAUGACUAACAAGCAUGUACUCAGGGAAUAUGCCGAAUAACAGAUGUAAACAGGAUCCAGAAAAAUCUUGAGAGCCUUCAACAAUGGGCCAAAUAUAUAGACCAAGAAAAGACGUUAACAGGAACAAAUGAAAGGUUCUACACCAGGGUCCAAAAAUCAGCCACCCAAGUACAGGAAGAGGAGAUGUGGCUUAGGAAACCUCUCUCAGUAUGAUGUGAGGCCUUGGGUUGAUGUGUCUCCACAAAAAUUGGCAAAAAGCAAAUGAGAAAUAAGGCCAACUCAAUAGAAGUGUAUCAUGUAGAAAGAGGUAAGCCUUGCUCAGCUCUGCUCUUGUCGAUGUGCCUGGAUUAUUUUCAUUUUAGUUGCCCCAUUAAAAAAGAGUUGCAUAAGCAACCUUAUAUUAGUAAUAACAGGACUUUAAAAAUCAAUCUAAUAAGUCAA